ACUAUUCACUUACACCUUUAUUGUUGUGUCCUUUUGUCUUGAGUUUUAUUUUUUUAUUUUUAGUUUUCAUCUUCUUUGAAAAGUAAAUACCAAACAAGAUUUCAGUUAAAACAAAAGUGAAAAUUAAAUGGUUGUCAAAUAGUUGCUAGACCCACCUCUUGUCUUAUUUAUCCAACCACACCAUAAAAAGUACAAAAAACCUAAUCAUCUUUUCCCAUCCACUGUUAUUCCUAAAUAUUCCUAUGUUUGAAAUUUAAAACAAAAAUUGAAGAAGGAGAAAAAAGCACAAUUCAACAACUACGUAGCGGCAGAACUCAUUAGCCAACAACAACCAAACUCACCACCGCACCCCCCGUGGUUCUCCUCGCCAUCAACCAAAUUUUUUUCCUCCCAUUUUCUUCUUCUCUUUCUCUCUUCCCAUGAUCCAAAUAUAAAGACCGUCAAUAUCAAGAACUAUAUUCAAACUUUUUGAGAUUAUUGCUAAGAAUUGAAGCCCCUCACCAUAUAUGUGACAUCCCACAUCGUCUAGGGGAGUAGAUC
This 540-nucleotide long non-coding RNA is filed under the name Malus domestica (apple). Its description in RNAcentral is "long non-coding RNA (MDOM_LNC014649)". Lineage: Eukaryota; Viridiplantae; Streptophyta; Magnoliopsida; Rosales; Rosaceae. The record is from RNAcentral.